RNAcentral lists this microRNA precursor (129 nucleotides) under Chlorocebus sabaeus (green monkey). RNAcentral's name for it is "miRNA (ENSCSAG00000021682.1)". The record is from RNAcentral. Lineage: Eukaryota; Metazoa; Chordata; Mammalia; Primates; Cercopithecidae.
CUUGCUAUCCCUCCUUGGGCAGCAGCAGUAACACAUUACAGGCUGGGAAGAGUAGCUGCAGCAGCAGCAGCAGCAGCAGCAGAAGCAAGAACAACAUAUUCCAGGGUGAGAGGAGCAGCCACCAGAGUU